UUAAGCGACUAAGCGUACACGGUGGAUGCCCUGGCAGUCAGAGGCGAUGAAGGACGUGCUAAUCUGCGAAAAGCGUCGGUAAGGUGAUAUGAACCGUUAUAACCGGCGAUGUCCGAAUGGGGAAACCCAGUGCAAUUCGUUGCACUAUCGUUAACUGAAUACAUAGGUUAACGAGGCGAACCGGGGGAACUGAAACAUCUAAGUACCCCGAGGAAAAGAAAUCAACCGAGAUUCCCCCAGUAGCGGCGAGCGAACGGGGAGCAGCCCAGAGUCUGAAUCAGCUUGUGUGUUAGUGGAACGGUCUGGAAAGUCCGACGGUACAGGGUGAUAGUCCCGUACACCAAAAUGCACAGGCUGUGAACUCGAAGAGUAGGGCGGGACACGUGGUAUCCUGUCUGAAUAUGGGGGGACCAUCCUCCAAGGCUAAAUACUCCUGACUGACCGAUAGUGAACCAGUACCGUGAGGGAAAGGCGAAAAGAACCCCGGCGAGGGGAGUGAAAAAGAACCUGAAACCGUGUACGUACAAGCAGUGGGAGCACCUUCGGGUGUGACUGCGUACCUUUUGUAUAAUGGGUCAGCGACUUAUAUUCUGUAGCAAGGUUAACCGUAUAGGGGAGCCGCAGGGAAACCGAGUCUUAACUGGGCGUUAAGUUGCAGGGUAUAGACCCGAAACCCGGUGAUCUAGCCAUGGGCAGGUUGAAGGUUGGGUAACACUAACUGGAGGACCGAACCGACUAAUGUUGAAAAAUUAGCGGAUGACUUGUGGCUGGGGGUGAAAGGCCAAUCAAACCGGGAGAUAGCUGGUUCUCCCCGAAAGCUAUUUAGGUAGCGCCUCGUGAAUUCAUCUUCGGGGGUAGAGCACUGUUUCGGCUAGGGGGUCAUCCCGACUUACCAACCCGAUGCAAACUACGAAUACCGAAGAAUGUUAUCACGGGAGACACACGGCGGGUGCUAACGUCCGUCGUGAAGAGGGAAACAACCCAGACCGCCAGCUAAGGUCCCAAAGUCAUGGUUAAGUGGGAAACGAUGUGGGAAGGCACAGACAGCCAGGAUGUUGGCUUAGAAGCAGCCAUCAUUUAAAGAAAGCGUAAUAGCUCACUGGUCGAGUCGGCCUGCGCGGAAGAUGUAACGGGGCUAAACCAUGCACCGAAGCUGCGGCAGCGACACUAUGUGUUGUUGGGUAGGGGAGCGUUCUGUAAGCCUGCGAAGGUGACCUGUGAGGGUUGCUGGAGGUAUCAGAAGUGCGAAUGCUGACAUAAGUAACGAUAAAGCGGGUGAAAAGCCCGCUCGCCGGAAGACCAAGGGUUCCUGUCCAACGUUAAUCGGGGCAGGGUGAGUCGACCCCUAAGGCGAGGCCGAAAGGCGUAGUCGAUGGGAAACAGGUUAAUAUUCCUGUACUUGGUGUUACUGCGAAGGGGGGACGGAGAAGGCUAUGUUAGCCGGGCGACGGUUGUCCCGGUUUAAGCAUGUAGGCUGGUUAUCCAGGCAAAUCCGGAUAAUCAAGGCUGAGGUGUGAUGACGAGGCACUACGGUGCUGAAGUAACAAAUGCCCUGCUUCCAGGAAAAGCCUCUAAGCAUCAGGUAACAUCAAAUCGUACCCCAAACCGACACAGGUGGUCAGGUAGAGAAUACCAAGGCGCUUGAGAGAACUCGGGUGAAGGAACUAGGCAAAAUGGUGCCGUAACUUCGGGAGAAGGCACGCUGGUGUGUAGGUGAAGCCCCUGCGGGUGGAGCCGAGACCAGUCGAAGAUACCAGCUGGCUGCAACUGUUUAUUAAAAACACAGCACUGUGCAAACACGAAAGUGGACGUAUACGGUGUGACGCCUGCCCGGUGCCGGAAGGUUAAUUGAUGGGGUUAUCCGUAAGGAGAAGCUCUUGAUCGAAGCCCCGGUAAACGGCGGCCGUAACUAUAACGGUCCUAAGGUAGCGAAAUUCCUUGUCGGGUAAGUUCCGACCUGCACGAAUGGCGUAAUGAUGGCCAGGCUGUCUCCACCCGAGACUCAGUGAAAUUGAACUCGCUGUGAAGAUGCAGUGUACCCGCGGCAAGACGGAAAGACCCCGUGAACCUUUACUAUAGCUUGACACUGAAUAUUGAGCCUUGAUGUGUAGGAUAGGUGGGAGGCUUUGAAGCGUGGACGCCAGUCUGCGUGGAGCCAACCUUGAAAUACCACCCUUUAAUGUUUGAUGUUCUAACGUUGGCCCCUGACCGGGGUUGCGGACAGUGUCUGGUGGGUAGUUUGACUGGGGCGGUCUCCUCCCAAAGCGUAACGGAGGAGCACGAAGGUUAGCUAAUCCUGGUCGGACAUCAGGAGGUUAGUGCAAUGGCAUAAGCUAGCUUGACUGCGAGCGUGACGGCGCGAGCAGGUGCGAAAGCAGGUCAUAGUGAUCCGGUGGUUCUGAAUGGAAGGGCCAUCGCUCAACGGAUAAAAGGUACUCCGGGGAUAACAGGCUGAUACCGCCCAAGAGUUCAUAUCGACGGCGGUGUUUGGCACCUCGAUGUCGGCUCAUCACAUCCUGGGGCUGAAGUAGGUCCCAAGGGUAUGGCUGUUCGCCAUUUAAAGUGGUACGCGAGCUGGGUUUAGAACGUCGUGAGACAGUUCGGUCCCUAUCUGCCGUGGGCGCUGGAGAAUUGAGGGGGGCUGCUCCUAGUACGAGAGGACCGGAGUGGACGCAUCACUGGUGUUCGGGUUGUCAUGCCAAUGGCACUGCCCGGUAGCUAAAUGCGGAAGAGAUAAGUGCUGAAAGCAUCUAAGCACGAAACUUGCCCCGAGAUGAGUUCUCCCUGAGACUUUAAGUCUCCUGAAGGAACGUUGAAGACGAUGACGUUGAUAGGCCGGGUGUGUAAGCGCAGCGAUGCGUUGAGCUAACCGGUACUAAUGAACCGUGAGGCUUAACCUU
This 2900-nucleotide ribosomal RNA is filed under the name Klebsiella pneumoniae. RNAcentral describes it as "bacterial LSU rRNA". It matches the Rfam family "Bacterial large subunit ribosomal RNA". The record is from RNAcentral. Lineage: Bacteria; Pseudomonadati; Pseudomonadota; Gammaproteobacteria; Enterobacterales; Enterobacteriaceae.